ACUCCUGCGGGAGGCAGCAGUGGGGAAUAUUGGACAAUGGGCGCAAGCCUGAUCCAGCCAUGCCGCGUGAGUGAUGAAGGCCCUAGGGUUGUAAAGCUCUUUUGUGCGGGAAGAUAAUGACGGUACCGCAAGAAUAAGCCCCGGCUAACUUCGUGCCAGCAGCCGCGGUAAUACGAAGGGGGCUAGCGUUGCUCGGAAUCACUGGGCGUAAAGGGUGCGUAGGCGGGUCUUUAAGUCAGGGGUGAAAUCCUGGAGCUCAACUCCAGAACUGCCUUUGAUACUGAAGAUCUUGAGUUCGGGAGAGGUGAGUGGAACUGCGAGUGUAGAGGUGAAAUUCGUAGAUAUUCGCAAGAACACCAGUGGCGAAGGCGGCUCACUGGCCCGAUACUGACGCUGAGGCACGAAAGCGUGGGGAGCAAACAGGAUUAGAAACCCGUGUAGUCC
This 444-nucleotide ribosomal RNA is filed under the name uncultured organism. RNAcentral describes it as "partial 16S ribosomal RNA". It matches the Rfam family "Bacterial small subunit ribosomal RNA", at positions 335 to 796 of the family's 1533-position model. The record is from RNAcentral.